This 1396-nucleotide ribosomal RNA is filed under the name Stenotrophomonas sp. tap-10. Its description in RNAcentral is "partial 16S ribosomal RNA". It matches the Rfam family "Bacterial small subunit ribosomal RNA". Lineage: Bacteria; Pseudomonadati; Pseudomonadota; Gammaproteobacteria; Lysobacterales; Lysobacteraceae. The record is from RNAcentral.
UGCAAGUCGAACGGCAGCACAGGAUAGCUUGCUCUCUGGAGGGCGAGUGGCGUACGGGAGAGGAAUACAUCUGAAUCUACUUUUUCGUGGGGGAUAACGUACGGAAACUUACGCUAAUACCGCAUACGACCUACGGGUGAAAGCUCGGGAUCUUCGGACCUUGCGCGAUUGACUGAGCCGAUGUCGGAUUAUCUAGUUGGAGGGGUAAAGGCCCACCAAGGUGACGAUCCGGACCUGGACUGAGAGGAUGAUCAGCCACACUGAAACUGAGACACGACCCAUACUCCUACGGGAGGCGGCAAUGGGGAAUAUUGGACAAUGGGCGCGAGCCUGAUCCACCCAUACCGCGAGGAUGAAGAAGGCCUUCGGGUUGUAAAGCCCUUUUGUUGAAAAAGAAAUCCAUCUGGCUAAUACCCGGUUGGGAUGACGGUACCCAAAGAAUCAGCUCCGUUUAACUUCGUGCCCGCAGCCGCGGUAAUGCGAAGGGUGCAAGUGUUACUCACAGUUACUGGACGUAAAGCGUGCGUAGGUGGUCGUUUAAGUCCGUUGUGAAAGCCCCGGCCUCAACCUGGCAACUGCAAUGGAUACUGGGCAACUAGAAUGAGGUAGAGGGAAUUGCAUGUCCUGGUGUAACAUGGAAAUGCAUAGAGAUGAAGAGGAACAUCCAUGGCGAACGCAUGUACCUGGACUGACACUGACACUGAAGCACGAAAGCGUGGAGAGCAAACAGGAUUACUGACCCUGGUAGUCCACACCGAAGACGAUGAGAUCUGGAUGUUGGGUGCAAUUUGGCACUCAGUAUCGAAGAUAACGCGUUAAAUGUCCACCGCGGGGAGAGCGGUGGCAAGAGUUAAAAUCAAAGGAAUUUACGGGGGGCCGCACACACGGUGGAGUACGUGGUUUAAUUUGAUACAACACGAAGAACCCUUCCCGGCCCCGACACAUCGAGAACUUUCCACAGAUAGAUUGGUGCCUUUUGGAACUCUAACACAGGUGUUGCAUAGCUGUGUUCAGCUCGUGUCGUGAGAUAUUGGGUUAAGUCCCCCAACGAGCGCACCCCCUUUCCUUAGUUUCCAGCACGUAAUGGUGGGACCUUUAAGGAGGCCGCCGGUGACCAACCGGAGGAAGGUGGGGAAGACGUCAAGUCAUCAUGGCCCUUACGGCCCAGGCUACACACGUACUACAAAUGUAGGGACAGAAGGGUGCACACCGGCGGAGGUAAACCAAUCCCAGAAAACCGUUUCAGUCCGGAUUGGCAUUUGCAACUUGACUCCAUGAAGUCGGAAUCGCUAGUAAUUGCAGAUCAGCAUUGUCGCGGUGAAUACGUUCCCGGGCCUUGUACACACCGCCCGUCACACCAUGGGAGUUUGUUGCACCAGAAGCAGGUAGCUUAACC